CCUGCAGAUGCCCUGCUCUCUGACCUGGAGACUACCACCUCGCACAUGCCAAGGUCAGGGGCUCCCAAAGAGCGCCCUGCGGAGCCUCUCACCCCUCCCCCAUCCUAUGGCCACCAGCCACAGACAGGGUCUGGGGAGUCUUCAGGAGCCUCGGGGGACAAGGACCACCUGUACAGCACGGUAUGCAAGCCUCGGUCCCCAAAGCCUGCAGCCCCGGCGGCCCCUCCAUUCUCCUCUUCCAGCGGUGUCUUGGGUACUGGGCUCUGUGAGCUAGAUCGGUUGCUUCAGGAACUUAAUGCCACUCAGUUCAACAUCACAGAUGAAAUCAUGUCUCAGUUCCCAUCUAGCAAGGUGGCUUCAGGAGAGCAGAAGGAGGACCAGUCUGAAGAUAAGAAAAGACCCAGCCUCCCUUCCAGCCCGUCUCCUGGCCUCCCAAAGGCUUCUGCCACCUCAGCCACUCUGGAGCUGGAUAGACUGAUGGCCUCACUCUCUGACUUCCGCGUUCAAAACCAUCUUCCAGCCUCUGGGCCAACUCAGCCACCGGUGGUGAGCUCCACAAAUGAGGGCUCCCCAUCCCCACCAGAGCCGACUGGCAAGGGCAGCCUUGACACCAUGCUGGGGCUGCUGCAGUCCGACCUCAGCCGCCGGGGUGUUCCCACCCAGGCCAAAGGCCUCUGUGGCUCCUGCAAUAAACCUAUUGCUGGGCAAGUAAGUGGAGCCUUGUGAGAAGGGAGGCAGAGACCUGUCACAGACCCAUCUUUAGUGAGAGCUGGGCUUUAUGCUGUUCCCUUUUAGUAAGUUAAUCUGGGAAGUGGGUAUCAUUAUUACUUAUGUUUUAUGGAUGAGGAAACUGAAGCUCUGAACCACACAGCAGGUUAGUGGUAGGGUGAAAAUUCCAAUCAUGUUACCAUUUAUUGUGGUCCUACUGUGUGCCAGGCACUGUGCCAGCUCCUUUACAAACCCUCAUCUCAUCUGAUCUUCACAAAACACUCUGUGGCUCCACCCAAUAUCUCUCAGGCAUCUACAAAGGCUCUCUCUUCCUCCGUCAGAGUCUGGACUGGGUUCACUGGUCCUUGUUUUAUUGACUGAGCAGAUGUGAUUGACAACAGCUGUGCCUAGGGGUUAACCUAGUGCCCCCUGCUAGAUCAAGUACCUGACUCCCAGCCCAGAAUUGCCCAUCUCAGCAAAGGAGGGUGGCAUUGUGACUUUUGUGGAUCAUAGGCACUUUCAUCUUCAUGAGUCCCUUCGUCCAUUAAAAUAAAUAGAUUUUUAUGCCUGUGUUGGUGUAAAGAUGGGUAUGUUAUUAUUGUGUAUUACAGCAUUUUCUUCUAGUUCAUUUUUUUAUUCUGAAUUUUUAAAAACGGAUUUUUCACUUCCUCCCUCUUAUUUAUUUUGAGGCAAAGUCUCACUCUUGUGACCCAAGCUGGAGUGCAGUGGUGCGAUUGUGGCUCACUGCAGCCUCGACCUUCUGGGCUCAAGCGAUCCUCCCAGCUCAGCCUCCCAAGUAGCUGGGACUAAAGGCGCCCGCCACCUCGCCCAGCUAAUUUUAUUUAUUUAUUGUAGAGAUGGGGCUUCGCCAUGUUGCCCAGGCUGGUCUCAAACUCUUGGGCUCAAGUAAUCCUCCCACCUCAGCCUCCCAAAUGCUAGGAUUAGAGGCACGAGCCACCCAGCCUGAUCGUAUUUUGAUUUUAAAAAAAUUAAAACGUUUUUAUGGGCCCCUAAAUGUAUUGUGGGCUCCAGGAGCUGUGCCUGCUGUGCCUCAUGUAUAGGUCAAUCCUGGAGCGCAGCUGGAAGACGGAAGACGGGAGCUAGAUCUCCAUCGCUUACAGGCUGCGUGAUCUCGAACACUGGAUUCUUUAUUCUGAUCGCUCAGAGAGGACUCGAAAAACGCCGCGUAAAUCUUGCCUCACUGGGCAUGUGGUUGUCAGAGCCGCUCUGACCCGCCUCACCUCCCACUCGCAGGUGGUGACGGCUCUGGGCCGCGCCUGGCACCCCGAGCACUUCGUUUGCGGAGGCUGUUCCACCGCCCUGGGAGGCAGCAGCUUCUUCGAGAAGGAUGGAGCCCCCUUCUGCCCUGAGUGCUACUUUGAGCGCUUCUCGCCAAGAUGUGGCUUCUGCAACCAGCCCAUCCGACACAAGAUGGUGACCGCCUUGGGCACUCACUGGCACCCAGAGCAUUUCUGCUGCGUCAGUUGCGGGGAGCCCUUCGGAGAUGAGGGUGAGAGUGAACUCGACUCCCACCUUAAAAGCUGCGGGUCCCCUCGACGUCUCGCCCCAGCCCCUCCGACCUCCGGAGUCCUCAGGGCCAUGGUUUUCCUUCUGCUCUCUUCUGGCCCUGCCCUCUCCUACACAGACUCCGGACCCGAGCCCUCCCCGCUCUGUCCCGCCAUAGACCCAGCUCCUCCUUCCCCAAGGCUCCCUCGGACUGCCCCUCCUUCGGCCCCAGAUCUCAGGUCUU
RNAcentral lists this small RNA (2458 nucleotides) under Pan troglodytes (chimpanzee). RNAcentral describes it as "retained intron". The record is from RNAcentral. Lineage: Eukaryota; Metazoa; Chordata; Mammalia; Primates; Hominidae.